CCUCUCGAUCUCAUCUGGACAUCCAGCCCCGCCCCGCCCCUCACAGCCGUCCGCCGCCGCCUCCUACCCUGCCGCCGCGCCUACCCCUACACCAAGUGCCAACACACCCGCGCCCAUCCACUACCGGGAACCCGCGGCCUUCUACCGCCGGCGGCACUCGACGUCGCGACCAUUGGCGGCUCCCCGACCUUGCUACCAUGGCGCCGCCGGGACUCCUCCCCGCUGCUUCCACCUCGACAUUGGUUUCCCCAACCCCGCUGGCUUCGCCACCAGCCACUCCUUCUAGGCACACUCUAUCUGCCGACGGACCCAUCCGCCUGGUUCCAAUGGUGAACAUCGCCGCCACCCUAUUGUGAGGCGAGGUGAUGUUCUUCGAACUGCCGGCUUGAUUCUGCCUAGGUAAUUUCUUCUUUCUACUGUACCACUUCAUAGAAAAAUUUGACUGCCUAAAAAUUCCCCAAUUUGGUACACUUUUUUUAUCAGAGUGAUCUUUUCAACGGAAAUUAUACUUUGAUCCUAUCCAAUCUUACUGUGACAGUAAUAUAUUCCCCUUUCCUUUAUAUGAAAGGAAAAUUGCGGCUCUUUAUCAUGUUGUCAUUAUAUUGUAACCGUGUGCAAGUGUGUUCAGUUCAACUAGAUGUAACUCAUUGACAUAUGAGAUUCCAUUGGGCCUGAUAAUCUUGAAUUUUGCUUCACAAUUUAAAAUGUAGUAUUAGACCUAGAGUUUUUAUGUAUUACAGAACCUGUCCUGUAAAUAUGCCAGUUACAAAUAAAGGUGAUAUUGAUGUGGAAACGCAACACACAUGUAGUAGAUGAAUUGUAUGAAGUAAAUCGCCUUGGAAUGAUGGUUGCUGAAUGUUACAAUUAUAGUCAUCUACCUGGACGACCUUUAAGCACCAAUAGCUUAAUCCUUUUAGGUUUUGUUCUUCUUUCUUCAGUACAAACAUAAUAUUGUUUGGUGCUUCCCAAUACUUGGAUGUGAAAAAUAAAGAAGUUUUACAUUUUAAGAACUAAUAGAUUUUUAACAAGAAAAUAUGGUCCAAGUGGGACUACUACUUCUAAAUAUUUUGUCUUUCACAGAAGGGGAUAUCGUACUUCUCCUAAUCAGGAUUGUUGUGUAACUGAAUGAUGGUAGGAUGCUGAAUAAUAAUGGAAGAAAAAGGAGUACAUGCUUUACCUAAUGUACCUACAGCAACAAUGGGUUGCCCCACCAAACAUCACUAGAGGACUAGGAAGGAAAACGGUGAUUUCUCAAUCAGGUUCUAUUAGCCAUUCUAGCAUUAGCAUCAUGAAGAUUCUGGAACAGUGCACGACAUGCCCAAUCCCAAGGUCUUCCCUCAGCUGGUGAAGCACAUGAGCCGGUGUCAAGCAAUAUCCCCUGUAUACUUUGUCCUUGUGUUCUUUCCAAGUAUGAAUCCAUAUCAGCUGCAUCACGGAGCUCCAUGCACAGUGGUACUACUUCCGAACGUGUAGAACAUGCAAUUGUAUGUAAAUCGCCUUGAAAUGAUGGUUGCUGGAUACUGCAUUAUGCUUGAUAGUCAUCUACCUGGACGACUUCAAGCGCUAAUAGGUAAAUCCUUUUAGAUUUUGUAGUUCUUUUCAGUACAGAGAUAAUUCUGUUUCUUGCUUCCCAAUUUUUGGACGACAAAACAGAGAGGCUUUACAUUAUAAAAGUUACAGUAAUAGAUUAUAAAUAAGAAAAUAAGGUCCAAGCCAGACUCCAACUUAUAAAGGUUUUGUCUUUCACGUAAGGGGAUAUCAUACUUCAUCUAAUCAUGGUUGUCGUGUAACCUAAUGAUGGUUAGUUACUACAUCCAUAGAGAAAAUGAACAUGGAGAUAUUCUCAUGUCAUAGUUUCCAGCGAUGAGAAUGGGCUACCUGACAUUGCUCGGCUGCUGAAACUGAGCAAACUUUGUGUAGUUAUUCAUGGUAGAAAUUCCUACUUAAAUUAUCUAUUUCGCCAAAUUGAGAAACUGCAUACAUGCCUUCGUCAAUGCGCAAUCGAACAGCCGCCAGGUGGUGAUGAGAGGACUACUAAAAGCAAGGGAAACACACUUAAGUUUGCUAUCCACAGUUUCUUCAGAAUCUAAAUACCAGUGGCAUCACAAGUGGGCUUCUCAAUUAAUCCAAAAGAUCCAUCAGGUUGCAAAGAUAAAAACAAUGAACAGAACAUAUCUGAAAGCGGCCCGAGCAUCCUCUACUACUUUCUUUAGAUGUUAUUUAUCUUGCUCUGUGUUGACAUAUUUUCUUCUUCCGUAGAUGCAAAGCAUCCAGGAUGUGAUCAAUCAUAUGUUGGAGAAUGGCAUUGAGACCUUACUUCACUGGAUAAUGGCAUUUAUAUGCGAUUCCAGUCCUUUCACAGUGCAGGUGAACUGGAAAUUCUAUCAAAGACAACUGUCCUUUCUUCAGUGUACAUGCAUGAUAUUACAUGAUUAAACAUACCAUCUUUAACUUCAUUUAGUUGUCUAUAUUAUGCUCUAUGUGCUAUUACCAACAAAAAUAGUGUUACCUCCGUACCAGGCCUUCCAAAUAUCUUAUAUUUUGGUACGGAGGUAGUACUUUUAGCCUGCAAAGCGAAUCCUAUGCCCAUUGUGGCAAUAAUGUGUUUGCACCACUAAAGAGAUAACUUAUUUUUUCAAUUGUAAGAAACACAUCAUUUAAGUGUGUGCCAUGUUAUCUUUGUUCAUGUUGCUGGCUGUACAUUUUCAGUAUUCUCAGGAUAUAUCUGAUUAUGAUGAUGUUCCGUACUGCUCUGGAGCCGACAACUUUUUGGACUGCUCGAUGUUUAUAACCAAUGAGACUACUUUUUUGGUUGUUGGCUGGAGCUAUCACUAUGACUGAAAUUUUCUUUUCACCCAAGUAAAUUUAUAUGGUCAUCAAAAACCAAUGACAGGUCAACACUUGUCAGCAGUUUGCAAUUUGUAUUACAGUAUGCCUAAGACAAUGUUCAGACAAUGUUCUUUUAGUUAGGAAAUGCAGAAAACGUGAUCAUGAUUUAUGUAGAUUGGACAGUCCCUUCAAACUGCAGUCUUUGAUCUAGAGUGGACAAUCUAACUAUAUGUUUCCUUUUAGAAAAUGACUAUAUGUUCCAUGAAUUCACUGCUUAUUUUGGCCAGAUCAGAUUAAACUAGGUCUUGAUUUCAAGGUUCAGUUAAGGCAGUUGGUGCAGGUUUGUUUGCUGUAAUACUAACUGUGCUAUUUAGACAGAGACAUUUGCUCUUUCUCAUUCCUCGACAUUUUCCUUUGCUACAAAGAUUUUUCAUUCUAGGUUGUGGAAAACGCAUGUAGUGUUCCUUCUACAAGUCGUCAUGAGCUGGGACAUAGAAGAAGAGAGCCGACGAGAAGUCGCAAAGCGGUUCGCUCCGGUGUCGCUGCCAAUGGCGCUGCACAAAGUGCAGAUUGCAGGCUAGAUGCGUACAAGUCCGUCCCUACUUCCAUGAGUCAAUUAGAUAGUAUAUUUGGUUAUGAAAGUUAUCUUUUGUGUAUACAGUUUUGCCAUUAUUUUGUAAAACCUUUGAGUUCUUGAUAAUGUAAUUUUCUUACUAAUCACACUUUUAAUUGAUUUGUGCCGAGGCUAAUAGCCAAGUUAUGCACAAACUGUUCAUGUUUCCUUGAUGACUGCUAUUGUCAGAAGAUUUUUUUCAGCAUUUAA
Long non-coding RNA from Triticum aestivum (bread wheat), 3652 nucleotides. RefSeq lists it as uncharacterized. The record is from RefSeq and is a predicted model, not a curated record. Lineage: Eukaryota; Viridiplantae; Streptophyta; Magnoliopsida; Poales; Poaceae. The transcript has 2 exons.